Molecule: non-coding RNA, 30 nt
Filed under: Rattus norvegicus (Norway rat)
Lineage: Eukaryota; Metazoa; Chordata; Mammalia; Rodentia; Muridae
Source: RNAcentral
UGUGAUUGUAACAUAGCAUUGGGUAGCAGU